Long non-coding RNA from Brassica rapa (field mustard), 1090 nucleotides. RefSeq lists it as uncharacterized. NCBI's taxonomy places the organism in Eukaryota, Viridiplantae, Streptophyta, Magnoliopsida, Brassicales, Brassicaceae. The record is from RefSeq and is a predicted model, not a curated record.
GAGGAGAAAAAGUGAGAACUCUUAGAGCAUCAUUAUCGCUGUAUGCAACUCCCGUAUCUUAGCAUUAACUGAAUUAAAAGAAAAGGAAAAUUGGGUUAAUUAAGAGAAGACGUAUCUUAAUUAGGGGAAGGAAGAGACCGUGUUUUGAGACACGUGUUGUGUUGUGGGUGUUCAGAAGCAAACCCGUGUCUCUCUCCCUUCUUCGAUUUCGCUGAAAUCACAGCAACUCUCCGACGGCGAUUUCUUCAUCUCUCAAUGAUCUGAUGAUGGAUUCGGCGUCUCUCUCGUCGGACUCGUCGUCUCUGUCGGACUUGCGUCUGUCUCGUCGGACUCGUCGUAUCUCUCUCUCUCUCGAUCACUUCUGAUUAGUUCUGUUUUGUCUCUGUCUUUGUUGGAUUAGAUGGACUCGUCGUAUUGACUUGUUUCUUUGAUUUGGAUGUCUUUUGUGGAAUAUAUCAUUCUUACAAACAGAAUGAUGUUGAACAAUCGGAUCAUUUUGGUAGGGGAAGGGUUAGUAGGCCGAGCUGCAUUUACAGGACAUCAUCAAUGGAUCCUAGCAGAUAGUUUCAACCGCGGUGGUGUUCAUCCACCUGAGGUUCAAUGAGAUGCUUCUCCAAUUAUCUGCUGGUAUUCAGACCGUCGCAGUUUUUCCAGUUGUUCCUCAUGGUGUUGUUCAUCUCGGUUCCUCCUUGCCUGUAAGUUUCUGCAAGCAAGGAGAAGGAUGGCAAAAUCCAGAUGCUUUGCUGAAUCAAAACUUCUCUUGUAUCUAACUACACUGGUGACAAGGCAAUUGGGAAAGUGUGAGCAGGUCUGUUUGAAUCUUGAGAUAGUUUUAAACUUUUAACAAUCUCUUUAGCUCUCAUGCACUAUCUUCGCAAGGUCCUUGCUUCCAAGGGAUCAGUCAUUUGAUUUUCCUGUUGAUUCAGAUACAAUUGAAGUCGCUGGCGGAGGAAAUGUAAGUUGUCAACCUUUAGUAGACCCCAAGCUCUUACAUUUGACAAUAUGUUUGAUCUUGAAAUGUAUGUUAAUGUCUUUCUAAUAAUCAAUAAAUUUGAAGUUUAAUAACAAAAUGUUUAAGAUUUUUUUUUAA